UGAGUAACGGCGAGCGAAAGGGAAGAGUCCAGCGCCGAAUCCCGCGCUCUCUGGGCGUCGGGAAAUGUGGCGUUUGGGAGUGAGCGUGCCGGGAGUCUCUGGCCCUGCAGCAAGUCCCCCUGACCGGGGCUCUUUCCCAGAGUGGGUGCGAGGCCCAUAGCUGCUAGGCCACUCUCGGAUGCGAACUCCUCGGAGUCGGGUUGCUUGGGAGUGCAGCCCUAAUCGGGUGGUAAACUCCACCUAAGACUAAAUACUGCCGUGAGACCGAUAGCAAACAAGUACCGUGAGGGAAAGUUGCAAAGAACUUUGAAGAGAGAGUUCAAGAGUACGUGAAACUGCUCAGAGGAAAACGGGUGGGCCCUCGAAAUCCUGUGGCGGGAGGAUUCAGUCGAGAGGUUCCGGAGGACGGACCGGGGAGUUGACAGAAUGGUUACCCGCGACCGGGCCACCUCGGACCGUCCCUUUCGGAUCGAUCGACGCAUUUCUUUCCCGCUCGAAGGACGCCGCAACGGGUUGGCGGAACGGCCUUAAGGACGGGAGCCGGCAGGUGGCCGGUGGGUUCUUUUCCAGCGAUGGGGGACCCGCCGGUUGUUAGCCUUUCCGUCGCACGGUCGAACCCCGACCCUGGUGUCGCGAGGCCCCCAUGGGCCUCUCCGCCUCCUCCUCCCAAGGACAGCGAGCGGACGCGGCAGGUGAGGCGCGGAACUCCGCGGGCGCAUGGACUCACUCCAUGGCCCGGCGGGUCCGAGUCCCCGUUGGCUGCGCGUGGCUCGUCGGAGCGC
RNAcentral lists this ribosomal RNA (782 nucleotides) under Metabus ebanoverde. Its description in RNAcentral is "eukaryotic LSU rRNA". It matches the Rfam family "Eukaryotic large subunit ribosomal RNA", at positions 80 to 634 of the family's 3401-position model. The record is from RNAcentral. Lineage: Eukaryota; Metazoa; Arthropoda; Arachnida; Araneae; Tetragnathidae.